Molecule: non-coding RNA, 223 nt
Organism: Eubacterium ventriosum ATCC 27560
Lineage: Bacteria; Bacillati; Bacillota; Clostridia; Eubacteriales; Eubacteriaceae
Source: Rfam
ACGAGAACCGAGGGAUUGAGAAAAGAAGGCGGAGCAGGCAGGACAGAUUAAAUGUAGCGGAAGGAUAAUAAACCACAAAGGAGUGAAAGAAGCUCCUUAUCCUCGAAAUGGCAGCAGAGGAGAUAGUUUCUAUUUAGAAGCGUCGUGAACGCAAAAGCGGCUUGUUUGUAAUUCCCAGGUGUACGGGCGAUGGGGGCUUAGAGAUAAGCGAAGUACACAUACA